UCCUACGUUCCAACAUCCAACUAUCCAACUUCCCACAUUUCCAACGGUGACGUAAAAAACGCUAAAAACGUUAGUCUUGCUUAAAACUUUGGCUUGUUAAGGCAGAUUUUUGAUUGAAAGUUAAUUUUAGACAAAAAUUCACAUUUACUUCAACUAAAUUUAUAGUUAUUUAAUAUAGAAAGGUAAAAUAAUGUCUUUCUAGUUUUUGUAAAGUUAAAUCUUAAUUUUAGCGGAC
RNAcentral lists this long non-coding RNA (235 nucleotides) under Mytilus galloprovincialis (Mediterranean mussel). The record is from RNAcentral. Lineage: Eukaryota; Metazoa; Mollusca; Bivalvia; Mytilida; Mytilidae.